CUGGAAGGCCAGGCAUCAACAUUGCCUGGCUGCAAAGCUGCUGGUAUCACCUGGAGCUCAACACAUUUAAUCUUACCCUGCAACUGCUAAUGUCACUUGGGUGCCAUCAAUGGAAGACUGAGAGAGGAUAAUUGAAAAGACUGGACUCCUAAAAUUAAAGUACAAGACCAAAUGGUUUUCCUGUCGCACGAGGGAAUCAGUGGGCAGUCUAGAUACCCAAGGCUAGAGGGACCCCCUGGAGUGCUGGUAAGUUUUGCA
Long non-coding RNA from Alligator mississippiensis (American alligator), 258 nucleotides. RefSeq lists it as uncharacterized. The record is from RefSeq and is a predicted model, not a curated record. The transcript is spliced from 3 exons. Lineage: Eukaryota; Metazoa; Chordata; Crocodylia; Alligatoridae.